This is a long non-coding RNA of Sarcophilus harrisii (Tasmanian devil), 800 nucleotides long. RefSeq lists it as uncharacterized. The record is from RefSeq and is a predicted model, not a curated record. NCBI's taxonomy places the organism in Eukaryota, Metazoa, Chordata, Mammalia, Dasyuromorphia, Dasyuridae. The transcript has 3 exons.
UGAGGAGCAGACGUAUAGGCAGAGGUGGGUCUAUGUGGAGCUGGGUCAGAAGGACUUUCUUGUGUCAAGUGGUCCUCACCUACCCUACCUGCUUCUGUGCUCACCCCCCAACCCAGCUGCCGAAGAGUUAUCAAGACAAAGAACAAAAGUCAGAAGGGGGGAAGGUGAAGAGCUGGGGGUGGGGGGAAAAAAGCCAAGAGCCAUAUCCACUCCUAGGGAUAGGGCACUUUAGCUUUUUCCCCUUUGAAAUUUCAAAUUCCAGUUUGUGGACAAAGUCCUAGCUAUCUCACAAUAUAGAUCCCAACCACUGACCAAACUCCACUCCAAGCAGCCACCUCCACUGGGACUGGCCUGACCUGGCCACUUCUUUCAGUUCCCUGGAACCCCAAAGGGAUCAGCUUCCUCUGGACUCCCCCCUACCUUUGCCUUUCCCUUGAUCAUGAAGGAUUCCCUUGGGCCCACUAGAGCCCACAGCCUCUUUCUCGGAAUUACAGCUGGGGUACACUCACUGACAACCACAAGCAAGAGACAAGAGUCAUUGAAAUCCAGUGGUAAAACAAAAGCUAAGGUGACUGGAGAUGGCCCAGGAUGCAGUGGAUGACCUUGGUGAUCAGACGUGAAGUCUGAUCAAGCUCCAAGUGCUUCACAGAACCUGCUUCAGCCAUCUUCAUGCUCCCUGGAACAAAUGGUUCUAAUCUGCUCAUUCACAUCUGGGAAGUACAGAAUGAGAAAAAAAUGCUUGGUGAUUGAAGACAUUAAAAAAAAAUAAACCAUAACACCCUGAGAGUCACUCACCGGCC